Molecule: ribosomal RNA, 522 nt
Filed under: uncultured bacterium
Lineage: Bacteria
Description: bacterial SSU rRNA
Rfam family: Bacterial small subunit ribosomal RNA
Source: RNAcentral
AAUAGAUACCCAGGUAGUCCACGCCGUAAACGAUGAGUGCUAAGUGUUAGAGGGUUUCCGCCCUUUAGUGCUGCAGCAAACGCAUUAAGCACUCCGCCUGGGGAGUACGGCCGCAAGGCUGAAACUCAAAGGAAUUGACGGGGGCCCGCACAAGCGGUGGAGCAUGUGGUUUAAUUCGAAGCAACGCGAAGAACCUUACCAGGUCUUGACAUCCUUAUGACUUCCCUAGAGAUAGGGCUUCCCCUUCGGGGGCAUAAGUGACAGGUGGUGCAUGGUUGUCGUCAGCUCGUGUCGUGAGAUGUUGGGUUAAGUCCCGCAACGAGCGCAACCCUUGAUCUUAGUUGCCAGCAUUCAGUUGGGCACUCUAAGGUGACUGCCGGUGACAAACCGGAGGAAGGUGGGGAUGACGUCAAAUCAUCAUGCCCCUUAUGACCUGGGCUACACACGUGCUACAAUGGAUGGUACAAAGGGCAGCGAAGCCGCGAGGUGAAGCGAAUCCCAUAAAACCAUUCUCAGUUCGGA